RNAcentral lists this ribosomal RNA (410 nucleotides) under uncultured microorganism. RNAcentral describes it as "bacterial SSU rRNA". It matches the Rfam family "Bacterial small subunit ribosomal RNA", at positions 509 to 917 of the family's 1533-position model. The record is from RNAcentral.
CAGCCGCCGCGGUAAUUCGUAGGGUGCGAGCGUUAAUCGGAUUUACUGGGCGUAAAGCGUGCGCAGGCGGCCCGUUAAGACAGGUGUGAAAUCCCUGGGCUCAACCUAGGAAUUGCGCUUGUGACUGGCGGGCUCGAGUACGGUAGAGGGGGGUGGAAUUCCUGGUGUAGCAGUGAAAUGCGUAGAGAUCAGGAGGAACACCGAUGGCGAAGGCAGCCCCCUGGGCCUGUACUGACGCUCAUGCACGAAAGCGUGGGGAGCAAACAGGAUUAGAUACCCUGGUAGUCCACGCCCUAAACGAUGGGUACUAGCCGUUUGGUGCGCGAUAGCGCUGAGUGGCGAAGCUAACGCGUGAAGUACCCCGCCUGGGGAGUACGGCCGCAAGGUUGAAACUUAAAGGAAUUGGCGGG